CGGGCGACCAGGCUCCUCCAGUGGCCAGUGGCGAGGUUGGUUCCGCCACAGCUGCGUCUGUCAGCGUAGUGUCAAGAGCGUGGAGGCGCUACCAGGAGACAGGCCAGUACAUCAGGAGACGUCGAGGAGGCCGUAGGAGGCCAACAACCCAGCAGCAGGACCGCUACCUCUGCCUUUGUGCAAGGAGAAACAGGAGGAGCACUGCCAGAGCCCUGCAAAAUGACCUCCAGAAGGCCACAAAUGUGCAUGUGUCUGCUUAGACAGUCAGAAACAGACUUCAUGAGGGUGGUAUGAGGGCCCGAAGUCCACAGGUGGGGGUUGUGCUUACAGCCCAACACCGUGC
Pelobates cultripes (western spadefoot toad) is the source of this 343-nucleotide non-coding RNA. Lineage: Eukaryota; Metazoa; Chordata; Amphibia; Anura; Pelobatidae. The record is from the annotation of a GenBank genome assembly.